RNAcentral lists this ribosomal RNA (253 nucleotides) under uncultured prokaryote. Its description in RNAcentral is "partial 16S ribosomal RNA". It matches the Rfam family "Bacterial small subunit ribosomal RNA", at positions 525 to 777 of the family's 1533-position model. The record is from RNAcentral.
ACGUAGGGUGCAAGCGUUAAUCGGAAUUACUGGGCGUAAAGCGUGCGCAGGCGGUUUUGUAAGACAGAGGUGAAAUCCCCGGGCUCAACCUGGGAACUGCCUUUGUGACUGCAAGGCUGGAGUGCGGCAGAGGGGGAUGGAAUUCCGCGUGUAGCAGUGAAAUGCGUAGAUAUGCGGAGGAACACCGAUGGCGAAGGCAAUCCCCUGGGCCUGCACUGACGCUCAUGCACGAAAGCGUGGGGAGCAAACAGGA